GGCCCGUUCGUCUAGUGGUUAGGACAUCAGGUUCUCAUCCUGGAAACAGGAGUUCGAUUCUCCUACGGGCUACCA
This 75-nucleotide transfer RNA is filed under the name Candidatus Peregrinibacteria bacterium. RNAcentral describes it as "tRNA-Glu". It matches the Rfam family "tRNA". From Rfam's summary of the family: Transfer RNA (tRNA) molecules are approximately 80 nucleotides in length. Their secondary structure includes four short double-helical elements and three loops (D, anti-codon, and T loops). The record is from RNAcentral. Lineage: Bacteria; Candidatus Peregrinibacteriota.